GUCCAGGUAGCUGCCUUCGCCAUGGGAUGUUCCUCCUGAUCUCUACGCAUUUCACUGCUACACCAGGAAUUCCGCCUACCCUCUACCACACUCUAGUCGCCCAGUAUCCACUGCAGUUCCCAGGUUGAGCCCAGGGCUUUCACAACGGACUUAAACGACCACCUACGCACGCUUUACGCCCAGUAAUUCCGAGUAACGCUUGCACCCUUCGUAUUACCGCGGCUGCUGGCACGAAGUUAGCCGGUGCUUAUUCUUUGGGUACCGUCAUCCCAACCGGGUAUUAGCCAGCUGGAUUUCUUUCCCAACAAAAGGGCUUUACAACCCGAAGGCCUUCUUCACCCACGCGGUAUGGCUGGAUCAGGCUUGCGCCCAUUGUCCAAUAUUCCCCACUGCUGCCUCCCGUAGGAGUCUGGACCGUGUCUCAGUUCCAGUGUGGCUGAUCAUCCUCUCAGACCAGCUACGGAUCGUCGCCUUGGUGGGCCUUUACCCCGCCAACUAGCUAAUCCGACAUCGGCUCAUUCAAUCGCGCAAGGUCCGAAGAUCCCCUGCUUUCACCCGUAGGUCGUAUGCGGUAUUAGCGUAAGUUUCCCUACGUUAUCCCCCACGACAGAGUAGAUUCCGAUGUAUUCCUCACCCGUCCGCCACUCGCCACCCAGAGAGCAAGCUCUCCUGUGCUGCCGUUCGACUUGCAUGUGUUAGGCCUACCGCC
RNAcentral lists this ribosomal RNA (709 nucleotides) under Stenotrophomonas maltophilia. RNAcentral's name for it is "partial 16S rRNA". The record is from RNAcentral. Lineage: Bacteria; Pseudomonadati; Pseudomonadota; Gammaproteobacteria; Lysobacterales; Lysobacteraceae.